This 101-nucleotide small nuclear RNA is filed under the name Notamacropus eugenii (tammar wallaby). The record is from RNAcentral. Lineage: Eukaryota; Metazoa; Chordata; Mammalia; Diprotodontia; Macropodidae.
GUGCUUGCUUCAGCAGUGCAUUUACUAAAAUUGGAACAAUACGGAGAAGAUUAACAUGGCCCCUGCACAAAAUUUUUUUCAAUAUGGUACUAGAAAUGUUA